Molecule: long non-coding RNA, 1783 nt
Filed under: Marmota monax (woodchuck)
Lineage: Eukaryota; Metazoa; Chordata; Mammalia; Rodentia; Sciuridae
Source: RNAcentral
UUUUUUUUAGUUUCAGUAAUGUUAGUUGGGCGAAGGGGGAUAUAGGGACAGCUUUUGGUCUGGAAUGGAACAAGAGCAUUAGAGUGGAUCAGCAGACCCUCACUGCCAAUAUGGUGAUGGCAGCAGGAUGAAAGAGAAUCUCAAGGGGAAGGUAAAAUAAUAUAACAACAAUAAUAAUAGCUGUGCUAAACAUUUAUUCAUUAAGAACCAAGUUAGAUUUCCUCGGUCAGCUUUCUCUUCAGAACUAAAGAUUCUCCUUCAAAUGCUAAACCUUAUGUUUCUUAGUGUUUUGGUUUUCUUUUUUUGGUAUUGACAAUUAAACACAGGGGCACUUUUCCACUGAGCCACAUCCCUAGCCCUUUUUUAAAUUUUGAGAUAGGGUCUCGUUAAGUUGCUUAAGUCCUCACCAUGUUACCGAGACUGGCCUCGAACUUGAGAUCCUCCAGCUUUGGCCUCCUAAAUCACUGGGAUUACAGGUGUGCACCACCAUGCACAGUUAGGUUUUAAUUCUCUUCAGACUUGAAUGAGACUCCAAAGAGCUAUAUUAAGAUGGAAGUGCUAAAGCAUCAACAUAGAAUGAUGAAAAGGUAUGUGGAUGAUGGAGUCUAGCAAACCUGGGCUUGAAUCCUGGUUCUGUCACUUAGCAUCACAAAACUAAAUGGAUAUUCUACCACUGAGCUACAUCCCCAGCCUUUUUUAUUUUGAGACAAGUUCUUGCUAACUUGCCCAGGCUGGCCUCGAACUUGCAAUCCUCUUGCCUCAAUCUGUGGAGUCCCUGGGGUUACAGGCAUGUACGGGCCCAGCAACAUUGGGCAAUUUUCUUAAUGUCUCUAUGCUUCAGUAUCCUCAAUGUAAAACAGGGGAGAUAUCAGAGGAUUGUUGUAACAAAUAAAUACGAUAUGAGUGUAAAAGUAUCUUGCAUUUGUGCCUAACACAGAAUAAACAUUCGAAAAAUCUAAGCAAGUCUGAUAGUAUCUGAUAAUUUUGAAGAAAAAGAUCUACUCUCAGAGUUUUUGACAUAACAAAGACAAGCUAGGCAUAUUGACACUUGCCUAUAACCCUGGAUACUCAGGAGGCUGACGCAAGAGCAUUGCAAGUUUGAGGCCAGCCUGGGGGACUUAGCAAGACCCUGUCUCAAAAUAAAAAAUAAAAAGCAAGGGGAUGUAGCUCAGUGAUAGAAUGCCCCUGGGUUCAAUCCCCAGUAUUGGAGUGUGUGUCGGGGGGCAGGGGGGAAUAAAUGUAUAAAACCGAUUUUAAAAUAAAUUUGUUGAUGUAUAAUUUGUAUACAAGGGUACAUACUCAUUUUAAGUGAACAGAUAAGUGAGUUUGACAAAUCAAUUCAUUCAUAGAAUCACUACCACAAUCAUGAUACAGAGCAUAGUCAUCAUUCCACAAGUCCCUCUGAGAGCUCACAACAAUCUUCCUACCCAAGACCCAAGGCCAUGCUGGUUUGCUUUCUGUAACUAUGGAGUAGGGUAUUCAGAAUUUCGUAUGCACAGAACCAUCCUGUAUCUAUGUUUCUAUCCAGCUUCUUUCACUCAGCAAGAUGUUUUGGGAAUCUAUCCACUUUUUGUAUCCAUAGCUUACUGCAUCACUGAGUAGUUAGUAUCUGAUUGUGUAGAUAUGCUAUAAUUUAUUUGUCAAUUAACCUGUUGAGAUAUUCUUGUAAUACUUCCACUUUUUUGGCUGUUAUGAAUAAUAGAGAAAUAAAACAAACUGUGAUAAUUUUGUGGAUGUACCUUUUGUAGAAACAUCUUUAUUUUUCUUACAUAAAAGAAACUAC